This 630-nucleotide ribosomal RNA is filed under the name uncultured bacterium. Its description in RNAcentral is "bacterial SSU rRNA". It matches the Rfam family "Bacterial small subunit ribosomal RNA", at positions 554 to 1185 of the family's 1533-position model. The record is from RNAcentral.
UUGGGCGUAAGAGCUUGUAGGCGGUUUGUCGCGUCUGCUGUGAAAUUUCGGGGCUCAACCCCGAACUUGCAGUGGGUACGGGCAGACUAGAGUGUGGUAGGGGAGACUGGAAUUCCUGGUGUAGCGGUGAAAUGCGCAGAUAUCAGGAGGAACACCGAUGGCGAAGGCAGGUCUCUGGGCCACUACUGACGCUGAGAAGCGAAAGCAUGGGGAGCGAACAGGAUUAGAUACCCUGGUAGUCCAUGCCGUAAACGUUGGGAACUAGGUGUGGGUCUCAUUCCACGAGAUCCGUGCCGCAGCUAACGCAUUAAGUUCCCCGCCUGGGGAGUACGGCCGCAAGGCUAAAACUCAAAGGAAUUGACGGGGGCCCGCACAAGCGGCGGAGCAUGCGGAUUAAUUCGAUGCAACGCGAAGAACCUUACCAAGGCUUGACAUAUACCGGAAACAUCUGGAGACAGGUGCCCCGCAAGGUCGGUAUACAGGUGGUGCAUGGUUGUCGUCAGCUCGUGUCGUGAGAUGUUGGGUUAAGUCCCGCAACGAGCGCAACUCUCGUUCUAUGUUGCCAGCGCGUAAUGGCGGGGACUCAUAGGAGACUGCCGGGGUCAACUCGGAGGAAGGUGGGGAUGACGU